GCACACAUAAUAAAAUGUCAGAAACUACAACUGUUCCGCCUUUCCUUGGGUUUGUACAGUCGAAUUUCUCAUUUACCCUCUUGACCACAACCCAUAUUCACGCAAGGAUUGAUGAUUGAUGAUUCAUACAGAGUUUUAUGAAAUAUCUUAGAGAUUAAGAAAUAGAUGUACACCUGAAAUGCUUCCAAGGCUGAGCAGUCUCAAAAUGUCCCUUUUCUUGUAGACUGUAAUCACUAUGAUUAAUCAAGCUAUUGGAGCCUCUGGAGUUGCAAGCCAGCAAUGCCAAGAUGAAAUUCAGCAGUACAGACAAACAAUCAUGGAUUUGCUAUUAGCAGAGGUGAACAUUCAACUUUUUAACUGCAUUUUCAUUUGUUUAAUGUGCAGUUACUUCAGAAUAGUAGUUGGUAUCUAUUUGUCUUUCCCGAUUAUCUCAUUAGUCACCUUUUAAGUAGGCACACAUUCAAAGAAGGUCUGCUCACAGGUUGAAGUAUGCACUUUUGAUGGAACUCACGGAGUUAUGUUAGUCUUCAGACUCUAUCUGCCCUGCUGGGACCAUGUAGUGCAUUAGUUAAUUCAUCAUGUUGAUAUAAUUAAAUGCUGGAUCUUUCUGUGGCCUUCUUCUGCAGUAGAGCAGAUCAGCAGGACUGCACGAUGAUAUGUGCUUUGCUUGUGAAAUUGCAGUCAUAUGGAUGGAGAAUCAACUGAGACAAAACCAUACUCAAGAUCGCAUAUUGGACUAUCUGAACGAGGUAAAAAGUCGUCGCUACCUUUUGUUCCAUACAGAUUGCCAACUGACUGACAGCUUUGUGAGCGUCUCCCAAGCCCAAUGGGAGAAUCAACUGUUGACCGUGGAAAGCUUUCUUCCAUGCCUACAGUCUCCUUCACAAAUUGGAGUAAAGAUGCAGUUAAGGUUACUAGCUUUCCUGUUGAGACUUCCACUGCAUAGUGCAUGUUCGAUUCUUCACUAGACAAGAGGAAAAUAUCAUCCUAGAUUAAAUUUUACAGUAAAAACAAAAUGCUAAUUCUAUACUACUUUUGCUACCAUACUCACGAGAUGACACAUGAUUUGAUGACGGUAUUAGGAGUCCUUCGAAUACAUCUAAGCCCUGGACACCAUUGUGCCAUAUCCACUGGUAAAUAAACACGUGUACUACACAUGUCCUUCUACCUCAUCUGUUUUUCCAUUAUUUUGCUUCAUUUUUUCAUCUUUUCCAUCAUCUUAUACUUUUGUAUUUUUCAUUCUCUCAUACUCACUGUUGGCGAAGACUUUUAGAAAUUGAUGAAAAAUUAGAGAAGAAUAAUUCGAAUCCUGAGCUGGUGCAUCAAUUUUGGUGAUGAAAUUUCACAUUUGACUACCGAAAUUGGAGGUAAUUUUCAUUCUAAUUAAAUUUCUGCAGUCUUGAAUCCCACUAUUCAUUUACAACACAUGUUAUUAGCCUACUACUACGUGGCUCUCUGGCACACAAUUCUGUCCUACAUGGAAAAAGAACAUGUAUCUUUAUCGAGAACUAACGAGAGGAACAUUAAAAAGUCCAAAUCGUUCUUCACAAGCGAGGUAGAAACGCAGGCAACUUCACACUAUAGUCAUCCUGCAAUGAGUUUAUUACUGCCUACAUAAGGGUCUGCUCAAAUGGUUUUAGACAAAGGCCAUUUAUGUUUCUUAUUGGCAACAGUGAUAGGUGAAAUAUCUUUUCUGUAUAUUUUUAUUUGCCUUGCUAAAUGGACACUUUUAAACUUUUCUUUUUUUGCCCUUUUAGAAGGAGGAGAAAUAUGGGUCCUAUUUUGUUUAGUUUAUAUUGAAUCCCUACGUACUGCACAUAUAAUUCAAUAAUACCUUGACGUUGUUAUUGCUUCUGCAGGGCGUACAACUGUUCAAUCAACGAUAUGUACCAGCAAUUUUUUCCCUCCGACAUCAUUUUCUCUCUGUUAAAAUUGAUAAUAUAAUUGGAUUCAGGUCAAAGUGGAUUGUGGGAUACUUCUGAAGUAGCAAGGUGAAGUUGUGUUAGCGCAUGAUUUUACAAGAAACUAUUGAGUCUGUUAUGAUUAGGGGUGUUCAUGGUUCGAUUUGGAUCGGUUAUUAGUUAAAACCAAAACCAAAUCAAUUUAAAUCGGUUUUUAAAUUUUUAAAAUCAAACCAAAUCGAAUAAAAAAAAAACCGUCAAUUUGGUUAGGUUUUUAUCGGGUUUUUUCGGUUCAAAAGUAAUAAGUUUGUUGAGGACAUAUGCAUCUCGAUAGAUACAAACACUUAGUACAUGAAUAAUUCACAAAUAAGCUAUUACACGAACAAAGUGAUUCGUUCAAUGUACCAAGUUUUAGAAACUAAAAAAAAUCAUUGUCAAUAACAUAAAGUUGGUUCAAUAUUCUAGAGAUCUCAGCAUCUUAUCAAUAGACUUUUCAAUAAAAUUACACCUUAAAAUAUUGAGAAAUUACUUCUCAAAAAAUAAUAAUCAAUAUUUCAUAGUUAAAACUAAUCAAUUACCAUCUUCUUUAGCUUGAGCUUUAAAUUAUUCAAUGUUGCGUUAGAAAAAUUUAUAAAGAACAUAGAAAGUGUGAUCUUUAAAGUAAUGAAUAUUGAAGGAUUUAGACUUAAGGUUAUAAUAGUUGGGCUAAAAUUUAAGUGUUGGGCUUCAAAAAUAGUAAAAUUAAAGACUUAAGUUAAUUAAAAUUUAUCAAAAUAAUAAUAUUUUAUUUAUAAAUAAUUAUAAAAUUUAUAUAUAUAACUUCUCGGUUUGGUUUGGUUAUUUUUGCGGUUAAUUUUUAGUAAAAUCAAAACCAAACCAAAUAAUAUCGAUUUUUCAAAAUUUAAAAUCAAACCUAACCAAAUCAAACUAAAUAUCAAUUUUUUUAAUCGAAUUGCGGUUCGGUUUGAUUUUAUAACCAUAACCAUGAACAACCCUAGUUAUGAUUGUAAAAGCAUCCGAAAAACUCCAAAUACAAUUUUAAUACUACAAGCUUUUGUGAAAUGAAAAUUUUCAACUAAUCUGACCUUUCUGUCAU
This 2997-nucleotide long non-coding RNA is filed under the name Solanum tuberosum (potato). RNAcentral describes it as "long non-coding RNA (STUB_LNC006453)". Lineage: Eukaryota; Viridiplantae; Streptophyta; Magnoliopsida; Solanales; Solanaceae. The record is from RNAcentral.